UACGGAGGGAGCUAGCGUUGUUCGGAAUUACUGGGCGUAAAGCGCGCGUAGGCGGCUUUGUAAGUUAGAGGUGAAAGCCCGGGGCUCAACCCCGGAACAGCCUUUAAGACUGCAUCGCUAGAAUCCGGGAGAGGUGAGUGGAAUUCCGAGUGUAGAGGUGAAAUUCGUAGAUAUUCGGAAGAACACCAGUGGCGAAGGCGACUCGCUGGACAAGUAUUGACGCUGAGGUGCGAAAGCGUGGGGAGCAAACAGG
Molecule: ribosomal RNA, 253 nt
Filed under: uncultured bacterium
Lineage: Bacteria
Description: partial 16S ribosomal RNA
Rfam family: Bacterial small subunit ribosomal RNA
Source: RNAcentral